This 394-nucleotide ribosomal RNA is filed under the name uncultured bacterium. RNAcentral's name for it is "bacterial SSU rRNA". It matches the Rfam family "Bacterial small subunit ribosomal RNA", at positions 28 to 410 of the family's 1533-position model. The record is from RNAcentral.
GACGAACGCUGGCGGCAUGCCUAAUACAUGCAAGUCGAGCGAAUGAUGAAGAAGCUUGCUUCUUCUGAUUUAGCGGCGGGCGGGUGAGUAACACGUGGGCAACCUGCCCUGUAGAUUGGGAUAACUCCGGGAAACCGGGCUAAUACCGAAUAAUCCAUUCGUCUCUCAUGUGAGAAUGUUAAAAGACGGUUUCGGCUGUCACUACAGGAUGGGCCCGCGGCGCAUUAGCUAGUUGGUGAGGUAACGGCUCACCAAGGCGACGAUGCGUAGCCGACCUGAGAGGGUGAUCGGCCACACUGGGACUGAGACACGGCCCAGACUCCUACGGGAGGCAGCAGUAGGGAAUCUUCCACAAUGGACGAAAGUCUGAUGGAGCAAUGCCGCGUGAGUGAAG